UUUCAUGAUGAAAAAGAGCGAUACGCUCGAUAACCCAGCUCGUCGAGGAGGGAGUAACGCCCCAUAUUCCUUUGAGAUAAUAUACAUAUCUGAUUAUAUCUUCUCUUCACAA
Molecule: small nucleolar RNA, 112 nt
Filed under: Serpula lacrymans var. lacrymans S7.3
Lineage: Eukaryota; Fungi; Basidiomycota; Agaricomycetes; Boletales; Serpulaceae
Description: A. fumigatus snoRNA Afu_304
Rfam family: A. fumigatus snoRNA Afu_304
Source: Rfam by way of RNAcentral